Molecule: small nuclear RNA, 111 nt
Organism: Cricetulus griseus (Chinese hamster)
Lineage: Eukaryota; Metazoa; Chordata; Mammalia; Rodentia; Cricetidae
Source: Ensembl
GUGCUCAAUUCGGCAGCACAUAUACUAAAAAUUGGAACCAUACACAGAAGAUUAGUAUGACCUCUGUGCAAGAAGAUAUGCAAGGGGGCUGGAGAGAUGGCUCAGAGGUUA